This 636-nucleotide ribosomal RNA is filed under the name uncultured fungus. RNAcentral describes it as "eukaryotic LSU rRNA". It matches the Rfam family "Eukaryotic large subunit ribosomal RNA", at positions 24 to 664 of the family's 3401-position model. The record is from RNAcentral. Lineage: Eukaryota; Fungi.
CCCGCUGAACUUAAGCAUAUCAAUAAGCGGAGGAAAAGAAACUAACAAGGAUUCCCCUAGUAACUGCGAGUGAAGCGGGAAAAGCUCAAAUUUAAAAUCUGGCGAUCUUGCGGCCGUCCGAGUUGUAAUCUGGAGAAGCGUUUAUCCGCGUCGGACCGUGUACAAGUCUUCUGGAAGGGAGCGUCGUAGAGGGUGAGAAUCCCGUCUUUGACACGGACAACCGGUGCUUUUGUGAUGCGCUCUCGAAGAGUCGAGUUGUUUGGGAAUGCAGCUCAAAAUGGGUGGUAAAUUCCAUCUAAAGCUAAAUAUUGGCGAGAGACCGAUAGCGAACAAGUACCGUGAGGGAAAGAUGAAAAGCACUUUGGAAAGAGAGUUAAACAGUACGUGAAAUUGUUAAAAGGGAAACGAUUGAAGUCAGUCGCGUCUACUUGGACUCAGCCUUACCUCGGUUUGGUGCAUUUCCUUGUGGACGGGCCAGUGUCCAUGUUGAUUGCUGGAAAAGGUUCAGGGGAAUGUGGCUCUUUUAGAGUGUUAUAGCCUCUGUUCAUAUACAGUAGUUGAUAUGGAGUGAUACAGCAUGCUUCGGCGGUGCUUGUACUGGCAUAAUGGCUUUAAACGACCCGUCUUGAAACACGG